Molecule: non-coding RNA, 2454 nt
Organism: Marmota flaviventris (yellow-bellied marmot)
Lineage: Eukaryota; Metazoa; Chordata; Mammalia; Rodentia; Sciuridae
Source: RefSeq, a predicted model, not a curated record
UGUGGGAGCUGCGUAGCUGGCUGCCUUCACUGCUCUGGCCAUCACUGCUCGGGAGCCUGGUGCCUCUGGGAGUAGCCCCUGAGCACUGUCUCCUUGGCCGCCUUUCCCCACCCCUCUUCCUGUUCCUCUCCUGGUUUGCACAACAUGAAAAACUUUUUGUACCUCAGAAUUUUCAAGACCAGUUUAAUUCUGCUCUCUCCCUAAAUACUACAAACUCUUUCCCCCUAGAAAGGGAUCAAGGGAGAUUUCCACUUUUUUGUUUCUUCUAGACUUAGAAACCAGACAAGAAAUCAGCCCUUCUGCCCCAAAGGAAAGCACCCCAGAAGAGCUGUGCAGCAGUGUUGUUCUGGUGCAGACUCCUGUGGGGUAGUGUGUGGCCCUUCCAGGGGAGGACACCGCAGGUCCCUGGGAGUGGAGUCCUGAGAGGCGCGAGCCGGGAGACGUGGCAGCCCUCAAGCCUGGGCAGGAGCAGUGGGGGAAUGGGUCUGGGGGAGCCUUGAGUCCUAGCCCUGAUCUCCCAGCUCAUCCAGCGACUCCUGAACAGCCAGGUCCCCACACGUGGAGAACACCCAGAAAGAGGCAGAAGCUGGACUCAAAGGUAAAUGCACAACAGAAAAUCCUUGCAAAAGAGAAACUGCAGAUGCCGGGAAUGUGAAGAGCCUGGCCAGUGUCGCCGGUGUGGAAAAGGCUUCCGGAACAGCUCUGCGCUCACCAAGCACUGCAGGGUCCCCCCCGGGAAGAAGCCCUAUCGGUGCCCUCGGUGUGGCCGGACCUUCAACCAGAUGGCCCCGCUGACCCAGCACAGGAGGACGCACGGGGCGCCAAGCCCCACGCGUGCGGGGACCGUGGGAAGGCUUCGGUUUCAGCCGGUCCCUGUCCCAGCACCAGCGAGAGGCUCCUCCCGGACCCAGCGCCAGCGCGCGCACUCGGGCCACAAGCCCUACGCCUGCCGCAAGUGCGGCAAGACCUUCAGCCGGGCCACCCAACGUGUCCAGCACCAGGGGGUCCACCGCGGGAGAGGCCGACGAAUGCAGCCAGUGCGGGCGGCAGCGCCUUCAGCCAGGGCCACCGUCUCGGCGGGCACCGCAGGACCCGCCGGGGGGAAGCCCGAGGCGUGCUGCGGCCACCUCCUCCCCGGAGAAGCCCUGCGCCUGCGGGGACUGAGGGAAGGCCUUCGCCCACAGCUCCUCCCCGACCCAGCACCCAGAACCCUCACUGGGGAGACGGCUGCAUGGGUGCUGGGGACAGGGGAGCCCUGAAGCCACAGCUCGUCCCACUCAGACUCGGCCUGUUCCUUCUCAAGGAAGAUGCAGCACCCACCCCACGUUCUCAGACGGAAAUGCCUAGCGCCACCAAGGUUCAGGUUCUAAACAGCAGGGAAAGGUGGAAACCGUCAACCUUGAGGACCCGAGCCUCGAGGAGAGAGAAACAAGGGAUGUCUGGGCCUGGUGAUGCCGCGCGCCCACGCGUUCAACAGACUGAACCCGAGAUUCAAAGGCCUGAGAAAUUCAACAGAUACCUUUCAGUUGUUUGCAGUGCUGGGGGUGGAACCCAAGACUUCAUGAAUAUUAAACAAGGACUCUACCGGUGGGCUGCAUGCAUCCCCAGUCCUUCACUGUCCUUUAAAAGCUGCAAAAGACUGCCAACAGAACCACUGCAAGCUAUCUGGGUAACCGUAUUAAAAUAUUCUGGUCCCAUUCCAAAAGCAAGAAGUGGGCACAAUGUGCACACCUGUAAUUCCAGUUACUGAGGCGGCUGAGGCAGGGCGAUCAAAGUUUGUGACCAGCUUUGGCAACUUGAUAAGACUGUCUCAAAAAUUAAUCAAAGGGUUGAGGAUGUAGCUCUGUGAUAGAGCACCCCUGGGUUCCAUCAAAAAAAGAAAAAUAGAAAUAGAUAAAAUUAGCUCAAUAUGUACCCCCUACAUGCACCACAUUCCCAUUCUGACGUGUCAGUAUUAAAACACUGAGAUACUUUACUUCUCUAGUGUGUACUUAUACUCAGUGCCUCCGAGUUCACUAGCCACACUUCAGGUGCUCCCUUCACAUGUGGCUGGCCAGUGGCAGCAUGGUGACUUAGGACCUCUGGUCAGCUUCUUGACCUUCCCUUUGUGAUGGGAAGCCUUGCUUUCUCUGAGUUGAUUAGUACCUCGAUAAGUUGCUGAGGCUGGCCAUCUUCCUGCCUCAGCCUCCCGAGGGACUGGGGUUACAGGUGUGCGUGGGCCCGUCUUCAAAGAAGGCAGAUGUGCUGGGUGUGUUGGUGCUCAGGAGACUGAGGCAGAAGGAUCAUGAAUUCAAAGCCAGCCUCAGCAAGGCUGAGUGGCAAUGAGGGUUGGAAGAGUCUAUUUAGGCUUUUUUUAUUGCCAGAACCACACUUGGUUUGAGGACAGGCAGAGGGGAAUGUGGCUCCGUAACUGGUAGAGAUGGGUACCUGGGCCCUUACGAGUGAGGGGCCCAC